UCGCAGGAUGGAUGAGCCUGCGUUGGAUUAGCUGUGGUGACGGUAAUGGCCUACCAAGGCUACGAUCCAUAGCUGAUUUGAGAGAAUGAUCAGCCACAUUGGGAACUCGAGGACACGGCCCAAAACCGUCCUACGGGAGGCAGCAGUGAGGAAUAUUCGGACAAUGGGGGAAACCCUGAUCCAGCAAUGCCAUGUGUGUGAAGAAGGCCUUAGGGUUGUAAAGCACUUUAGUUGGGGAAGAAAGCUUUAAGGUUAAUAACCUUGAGGAAGGACGUUACCCAAAGAAUAAGCACCGGCUAACUCCGUGC
Molecule: ribosomal RNA, 308 nt
Filed under: uncultured Francisella sp.
Lineage: Bacteria; Pseudomonadati; Pseudomonadota; Gammaproteobacteria; Thiotrichales; Francisellaceae
Description: bacterial SSU rRNA
Rfam family: Bacterial small subunit ribosomal RNA
Source: RNAcentral